GGGUUAAAUCCUCAGAGAAAUAGGAAAAGAAAAAUCAGAAAAGCAAAGGACUUGGCUGAAAAUGAGUUGGCAGCAACAUCUGCAAAGCAGACGGUGAAAAUUGCUUGCAAUGGUUAUUAAACUCAUGAAGACAACUAAGCCACACUCAAGGAUGCCUUACUGGAAUAAAGCCUCGAAAUUUACCCCCUUGCUAGAAAAUAAUUGGGGGAAAUAUCUUGUAUUGUUGGUCAUCUGUAGACUCU
RNAcentral lists this long non-coding RNA (242 nucleotides) under Homo sapiens (human). Its description in RNAcentral is "HSALNT0062670". Lineage: Eukaryota; Metazoa; Chordata; Mammalia; Primates; Hominidae. The record is from RNAcentral.